AACUAUUAUGGAGCUGCUAAGAUGAUAUUUUCUGACAACCCACUUGGUCUGACUUGUGGAAUGGUAUGUCCAACCUCUGAUCUUUGUGUAGGUGGAUGCAAUUUAUAUGCCACUGAAGAGGGACCCAUUAAUAUUGGUGGAUUGCAGCAAUUUGCUACUGAGGUAUUCAAAGCAAUGAGUAUCCCACAGAUCAGAAAUCCUUCGCUGCCUCCCCCAGAAAAAAUGUCUGAAGCCUAUUCUGCAAAGAUUGCUCUUUUUGGUGCUGGGCCUGCAAGUAUAAGUUGUGCUUCCUUUUUGGCUCGAUUGGGGUACUCUGACAUCACUAUAUUUGAAAAACAAGAAUAUGUUGGUGGUUUAAGUACUUCUGAAAUUCCUCAGUUCCGGCUGCCGUAUGAUGUAGUGAAUUUUGAGAUUGAGCUAAUGAAGGACCUUGGUGUAAAGAUAAUUUGCGGUAAAAGCCUUUCAGUGAAUGAAAUGACUCUUAGCACUUUGAAAGAAAAAGGCUACAAAGCUGCUUUCAUUGGAAUAG
This 529-nucleotide non-coding RNA is filed under the name Homo sapiens (human). The record is from RNAcentral. Lineage: Eukaryota; Metazoa; Chordata; Mammalia; Primates; Hominidae.